GCCUCUAUAGCUCAGUUGGUAGAGCGCGGCACUAGUAACAUUCCGACGUUCAACCGAGGUCAAUCCGAGGUUGUGCCGGUCAUCAUUGCGAUGCCGAGGUCUACGGUUCGACUCCGUAUGGAGGCA
Dissoconium aciculare CBS 342.82 is the source of this 126-nucleotide non-coding RNA. The record is from the annotation of a RefSeq genome assembly. NCBI's taxonomy places the organism in Eukaryota, Fungi, Ascomycota, Dothideomycetes, Mycosphaerellales, Dissoconiaceae.